GUUGGUAAAAUACUCUUUAUUAUUAUUUUAAACAAACAUCAGUUACUUAUGAGUUUAUUGUUGUCAGGUCUGCUGUGGCAGAUGAGUGGAGGCUGAGAAUUAGGACCCAAGAUGCAGGCAGCUGAGAUGCAAAUGAGUUUUAUUCAUAAAGUGGUGAAACAAACAGAAACAGCAAAGGCAAGGACGGAAACUAAGCAAACCUAAACUUAGUGAUGGGUCCAGCAACACUGACGCACCGACGCUUGUAUCAAGCUCACCUAGCGAUGCCUGUAUCGGUGCGUGCGUCGCUUUAAGAAAAAGUCACGUGAUCGAUACAGCUGCUGUAUCGCUCAUUGCCAACGCGCCAAACUGUGUUUAAAAGGUACCGCAUCCGUGUCUGCCAACGGAAUGAGUCGCCACCAAAAAACACAAAAUUACUCUCGCAAAGAUUAAAAAAAAACAAAAACAUAUCUCUCCAAAAACAAAAUGGAGCCCGAAAGAAAAAGAAAUGUUUCUGCUGUGCGGGAUCAUUUUGAUCUUUUCAGUGCAAAUAAGGUAACUGUUUGUCUGUCUUUGUUUCAGUGUAAUCUAUCAGAACAGGAAAAACAGCAAUGUGACUUGAAGUGUAAAUUAUUUAUUUCAUUUUAUGCAGGUUAAAUGUCGCAUCUGCUCUGCGUUUCUUACACAAACAAAAGCACCUCCUCAGUGUUUGGGCAUUACAGAGCCAAACAUGAAAAUGAGGAGACAAACACACCCAGAAUGAACACUGCAAGACUGUUCUGGACCAGGCAGUCCUGAAUUUUAUUAUAAAGGACUGCCAACCCCUCAGUAUUGUGGAGAGUGUCGGAGAGAAACAUUCCAAGAUCAGAGGAUCCUUUAACGUACUGGGGGAACAGGAAGACAUCUUAUCUGAACCUUUUCCACCUGGCUUUACAGUUUUUAUGUACCCCAGCUUCAUCUGUGCCUGUCGAUCCAGUCUGAGAGUCACAGUCCGGGCUCCUCCACAAAUCAUGGAGUCAACCAGAAUGAAACUCAUGUGUACGACUCUCUUCAACAUGGUACUGAUGACGUCUAUGAAUCAGUCACACAAGUGAAAAACAGAAAUGGUUCAGAUGAAUAUGAUGACGUCACCUCAUCUCUUAUUGAGUUUAAAGAUCUUAGAACUAAGAAUACAGAGUCUGUCUGCGCCUUCUAAACAAAUCCUAUAAGGUGGGACAGGCAUGAGGGGCAGCCAGUGACCCCUCACACACGUCCUUAUGCUGAUAUCCAGGCAGGUUCUCAGUGUUUGUAGCUGCUGAUUUAUGCAGCAAGCAUUUCCACAGUCCUCUGCAGCAGAUUAUAGAAACACUUCUUUUCUCAGCUCACGACAGAAGAUCUACAGCUGGGACACUGUUAAGUGGUUCUAUGUGAAAAAUAGUUAAAUAUUAACUCAAACAUGUUCUUGUAUGUAAAACAGGUUCAAAUGCAUGAAAUUAUAUUUGUCCUUUAUAGUGGACAUUAAAAAACACCACAUGUAUGAACGAUAGUUUACAUCUUAGAGCCCUGCUCUCAAAAACUGACUCAGAUGUAACUGUCUGUGAAACCAGAUUUAAGAAAUAAGAACUUAAAGUUCACAAAACAUGUCAAACAGACUCUCCUUCAUGAAGUCCUCGUUGAUAAAGUGCUUCACAGACCUGAACAUUACAGCUAACAGCUGGAUUUUCCUGUGUCAGUGCAGCUGGCCAAAAAAUGCAGAACCACUUACUGCUAAAGAGACAGACGGUGAAAGCAGACAGUAUAUCCUCCGUUUUAAUAUAAAAGUCAUUGUUGCAGCUGAGAGCAGCACAACAGUGACCCCAUUAAACUGAUGUUUAGUUUUAGUGUCCUUAUUUUCACUGAGUUAUUGGUUCUGCUAUUAGUUACUUUACAUAAACUGAUGUGAGUCUUUUGACUGAAACGAACCAACUGACCUGGUGAUGUGAUGCUCUGUACUAACAGAAGAUGGCGCUGAACAUGUUUUUAUAACUUUAAGCACUUAUUUCUUAAAUCCAGCUUCACAGUCAGAGUUACAUCUGUGUCAGUUUUUGAGAGCUGGGCUCCAUGAUGUACAUUAGCAUUGAUACAUGUAGUGUUUCAUGUCCCCUUUAAUGCUGAACACCUGAUGUGACAUUUCCACACAAUAACUCUGCUCAGUAACUGAUUGUUUUACAUGUUUUCCAUCUUCCAGUUUUUGUGAUUUGGUUCAUGUAAACAUUUCUGAUGGUUUUAUUUUCAUCAAAAUAUUUUAAUUUGCACUUAAGUUUGAACUCUUAGAGAUUACACUCACUUUGUUUUCACAGACUUGUGACCAUGACACAAAACUACAGAGAGAAGUGGAUAAAAUCUCAUUGUUACUGGUUUUAGAAAUGCUUUACAAUAAUAAAAAAUACAUCAUUUAGAGUCAAAAUAUCAUAAAUGGUAACAAAUAUAACUGUUGUCUUCUGGUUACUCACAGUCCAAAUCAUCAUCUGCAUCAAUGAAUGUCAGUGAGGCGUCCUGAAAGUCGUCACGUCUCCUGUUCAGUUACCGUCUCUGAGAAUCACUCUGCUCUCCAAUCAAAUCACUUUCUUCUGUUUAUCCUCUGAGUUGCUCUUUGAUGGUUAUGAAUCGUUGCUCUUCUUUAAACUGUGAAGUCGUUCCUGUACUUGGGAGACAUUUCUCUUUUGUUCUGGUAUCAAAUUGCUUCGUGUUUGCUGAACGUAACCGUCUUUCUGUUCACCUGUCAAACUGUUGCUCAUGUUUCCAGAGCAGCUUUUCUUCUGCUCAGACUUAAAAAAUGUUCAAUAAGUUUUGUUUUGUCGAUUUGCCAAAUUGUUGCUCAGUUAUUGAGAAUACCUUUUUUUCUGUUCUGUAGACAUUAAUUUGCUCUUGUUUAGUUGUCAAGUUGCUGCACAGUUGGUUUGAGUCGAAGUUAAUCUCAGUUGACAGGUUGCUUUGCAGUUUUGAAAAAAAAAAUUCUCCUCUGAUAAGUUGUCAAACUGUCUUUCAGAAUAAUUUAUUCUCAGUUUUCUGUUUAGACUUUUUCUCAGACGUCUGAUUUUCGCCUCUUCUGUUCAGUCACUCAUCUUCUGCUCAGACUGUCUGUGUGUGUGUGUGUGUGUGCGUGUGUGUGUGCGUGUGCGUGCGUGUGCGUGUGUGUGUGUAUGUAGGUGCAUGUGUGUGUUUCCAGCUAUACCAUACAUAGACAUGCGAUCUUUCAAUGAACUUAAACCGUGUGUAUGAGGUUUGCAGAAAAGCAGAAAUAAGCACCUUGCUAAACUAUAAAAACAGGAACUUGUAAGAGGUCAUGUCUCAAACAAACAUUUAAAGGUGUGAAGUCUUGCACUUAUAAAGAAACAGAACCUGGUGCUUUCCUAAUGUAUAACAUAGCUCAUCUCUGGACUAAGCUGCACUCUAAAUAAAGCACAUUUUGUCAGCACAGACACAGAUAAAGGAAAUAGUAGAAGGUUGAAAAUAAAUCCUCUGACUGUCUGGCUUUUUCUUCAUAAUGAAGCCAUAUUAGGACACAUAAAGGC
Long non-coding RNA from Oreochromis aureus, 3512 nucleotides. Lineage: Eukaryota; Metazoa; Chordata; Actinopteri; Cichliformes; Cichlidae. The record is from Ensembl.